CUGCUGCCUUCCGUAGGAGUCUGGACCGUGUCUCAGUUCCAGUGUGGCUGGUCAUCCUCUCAGACCAGCUAGGGAUCGUCGCCUUGGUGAGCCGUUACCCCACCAACAAGCUAAUCCCAUCUGGGCACAUCCGAUGGCAAGAGGCCCGAAGGUCCCCCUCUUUGGUCUUGCGACGUUAUGCGGUAUUAGCUACCAUUUCCAGUAGUUAUCCCCCUCCAUCAGGCAGUUUCCCAGACAUUACUCACCCGUCCG
This 252-nucleotide ribosomal RNA is filed under the name uncultured bacterium. Its description in RNAcentral is "partial 16S ribosomal RNA". The record is from RNAcentral.